Molecule: ribosomal RNA, 465 nt
Filed under: Vreelandella stevensii
Lineage: Bacteria; Pseudomonadati; Pseudomonadota; Gammaproteobacteria; Oceanospirillales; Halomonadaceae
Description: partial 16S ribosomal RNA
Rfam family: Bacterial small subunit ribosomal RNA
Source: RNAcentral
CCUACGGGUGGCAGCAGUGGGGAAUAUUGGACAAUGGGGGGAACCCUGAUCCAGCCAUGCCGCGUGUGUGAAGAAGGCCCUCGGGUUGUAAAGCACUUUCAGUGAGGAAGAACGCCUGGUGGUUAAUACCCAUCAGGAAAGACAUCACUCACAGAAGAAGCACCGGCUAACUCCGUGCCAACAGCCGCGGUAAUACGGAGGGUGCGAGCGUUAAUCGGAAUUACUGGGCGUAAAGCGCGCGUAGGUGGCUUGAUAAGCCGGUUGUGAAAGCCCCGGGCUCAACCUGGGAACGGCAUCCGGAACUGUCAAGCUAGAGUGCAGGAGAGGAAGGUAGAAUUCCCGGUGUAGCGGUGAAAUGCGUAGAGAUCGGGAGGAAUACCAGUGGCGAAGGCGGCCUUCUGGACUGACACUGACACUGAGGUGCGAAAGCGUGGGUAGCAAACAGGAUUAGAUACCCUAGUAGUC